CCUACGUGUGGCAGCAGUGGGGAAUAUUGCACAAUGGGGGAAACCCUGAUGCAGCAACGCCGCGUGGGUGAAGGAGCGUUUCGGCGCGUAAAGCCCUGUCAGCGGGGAAGAAGUAAGACGGUACCCGACCAAGAAGCCCCGGCUAACUACGUGCCAGCAGCCGCGGUAAUACGUAGGGGGCGAGCGUUAUCCGGAAUUACUGGGGGUAAAGGGAGCGUAGACGGCGAGGUAAACCUGAGGUGGAAGCCCGCGGCCCAACCGCGGAACUGCUUUGGGGACUGUUUUGCUGGAGAAUGGGAGGGGUAGGCGGAAUUCCUGGUGUAGCGGUGAAAUGCGUAGAUAUCAGGAGGAACACCGAUGGCGAAGGCAGCUUACUAGACCAUAACUGACGUUGAGGCUCGAGAGCGUGGGGAGCGAACAGGAUUAGAUACCCUUGUAGUC
This 441-nucleotide ribosomal RNA is filed under the name uncultured bacterium. RNAcentral's name for it is "partial 16S ribosomal RNA". It matches the Rfam family "Bacterial small subunit ribosomal RNA", at positions 338 to 795 of the family's 1533-position model. The record is from RNAcentral.